GGCAAGAGGCCCCAGGUCCUACCAUGUGGACUUCUCCAUAGGACUGCUUGAGUGUUCUCAUGACAUGACAACCAGCUUCUUCCAGAGUAAGAGAUCCCAAAGAGAGCAAAGAGGAAGCCAGAGGACUGAUUUUCCAUCUGGCCUAACCAGAGUCUGAAGUUGCUGAAUCAAACAGAGCCAAUAGGUCGGACUUGAGCUGACUGGAGCAUGCACAGAGCUGGGAAGCACAACUUACCCUGUAUUUCAUGCAAUACAAAGGAAGAUGGCUGUUUGGGGUUGCCGUGUCUCUUAGCAAUUAAGGAGAUGGCUACAGCCAAGCAGUGUGAAGUGACAGCACCAGAAAGUUUUCUACACCAGAGGCUGAGAACAGGGGCUGUGCAGUCAUAUUCAAUAUUGAGUCCCCAACCCUAACCCGGACCUGGCACAUACAAGACAUUCAGCAGAUGGCUAUUGAAUGAAAAUAUAUAAAUGAAUCAACGAUUACCAGCUGCCUCCACUCCCUUAACCUGCUACAGAAUUAAUAAACUAAUCUUGAGCAUA
Molecule: long non-coding RNA, 540 nt
Filed under: Homo sapiens (human)
Lineage: Eukaryota; Metazoa; Chordata; Mammalia; Primates; Hominidae
Description: long independently transcribed non-coding RNA 502 (LINC00502)
Source: RNAcentral